RNAcentral lists this transfer RNA (88 nucleotides) under Cordylochernes scorpioides. RNAcentral's name for it is "tRNA-Tyr". The record is from RNAcentral. Lineage: Eukaryota; Metazoa; Arthropoda; Arachnida; Pseudoscorpiones; Chernetidae.
UUCCUCGAGCCGGAUUUGAACCAGCGACCUAAGGAUCACCGUUGUAACAUCUACAGUUCUUCGCUCUGCCAACUGAGCUAUCGAGGGA